Molecule: ribosomal RNA, 511 nt
Filed under: uncultured Actinomycetes bacterium
Lineage: Bacteria; Bacillati; Actinomycetota; Actinomycetes
Description: bacterial SSU rRNA
Rfam family: Bacterial small subunit ribosomal RNA
Source: RNAcentral
UGGGGAAUCUUGCGCAAUGGGCGAAAGCCUGACGCAGCGACGCCGCGUGCGGGAAGAAGGCCUUCGGGUUGUAAACCGCUUUCAGGAGGGACGAAGCCACUCGGGUUAAUAGCCUAGAGGGUGACGGUACCUCCAGAAGAAGCCCCGGCUAACUACGUGCCAGCAGCCGCGGUAAUACGUAGGGGGCUAGCGUUGUCCGGAUUUAUUGGGCGUAAAGAGCGUGUAGGCGGCCAGGUAGGUCCGGUGUGAAAACUCGAGGCUUAACCUCGAGAUGUCAUCGGAAACCAUCUGGCUAGAGUCCGGAAGAGGAAAGUGGAAUUCCUGGUGUAGCGGUGAAAUGCGCAGAUAUCAGGAAGAACACCAAUGGCGAAAGCAGCUUUCUGGGACGGUACUGACGCUGAGACGCGAAAGCGUGGGGAGCGAACAGGAUUAGAUACCCUGGUAGUCCACGCCGUAAACGAUGGGCGCUAGGUGUGGGCGGUGUCGACUCCGUCCGUGCCGAAGCUAACGC